UUAAGUGAAUAAGGGCGCACGGUGGAUGCCUUGGCACUAGGAGCCGAUGAAGGACGGGACUAACACCGAUAUGCUUUGGGGAGCUGUACGUAAGCUAUGAUCCAGAGAUUUCCGAAUGGGGGAACCCAGCAUCUUUAAUAGGAUGUUACGAUUGUGUGAAUACAUAGCACAUUCGAGGUAGACGCAGAGAACUGAAACAUCUAAGUACCUGCAGGAAGAGAAAGAAAAUUCGAUUCCCUGAGUAGCGGCGAGCGAAACGGGAAAAGCCCAAACCAACAAGCUUGCUUGUUGGGGUUGUAGGACUCCAAUAUGGUCGUUCUUUCAGAUAGUCGAAUGACUUGGAAAAGUCAGUCAAAGAGGGUAAAAACCCCGUAGACGAAAUGUGGAAGACACCUAGGAGGAUCCUGAGUACGGCGGAACACGAGAAAUUCCGUCGGAAUCCGGGAGGACCAUCUCCCAAGGCUAAAUACUCCCUAGUGACCGAUAGUGAACCAGUACCGUGAGGGAAAGGUGAAAAGCACCCCGGAAGGGGAGUGAAAUAGAACCUGAAACCGUGUGCCUACAACAAGUCAAAGCCCGUUAAUGGGUGAUGGCGUGCCUUUUGUAGAAUGAACCGGCGAGUUACGAUUGCAUGCGAGGUUAAGUUGAAGAGACGGAGCCGCAGCGAAAGCGAGUCUGAAUAGGGCGUUUGAGUAUGUAGUCGUAGACCCGAAACCAUGUGAUCUACCCAUGUCCAGGUUGAAGGUGCGGUAAAACGCACUGGAGGACCGAACCCACGUACGUUGAAAAGUGCGGGGAUGAGGUGUGGGUAGCGGAGAAAUUCCAAACGAACUUGGAGAUAGCUGGUUCUCUCCGAAAUAGCUUUAGGGCUAGCCUCGGAAUUGAGAAUGAUGGAGGUAGAGCACUGUUUGGACUAGGGGCCCAUCUCGGGUUACCGAAUUCAGAUAAACUCCGAAUGCCAUUCAUUCAUAUCCGGGAGUCAGACUGUGAGUGAUAAGAUCCAUAGUCGAAAGGGAAACAGCCCAGACCACCAGCUAAGGUCCCAAAAUAUAUGUUAAGUGGAAAAGGAUGUGGGGUUGCACAGACAACUAGGAUGUUGGCUUAGAAGCAGCCACCAUUUAAAGAGUGCGUAAUAGCUCACUAGUCGAGUGACCCUGCGCCGAAAAUGUACCGGGGCUAAACAUAUUACCGAAGCUGUGGAGUACACCUUUAGGUGUAUUGGUAGGAGAGCGUUCUAAGGGCGUCGAAGGCAGAUCGUGAGGACUGCUGGAGCGCUUAGAAGUGAGAAUGCCGGUAUGAGUAGCGAAAGACAGGUGAGAAUCCUGUCCACCGAAUGACUAAGGUUUCCUGGGGAAGGCUCGUCCGCCCAGGGUUAGUCGGGACCUAAGCCGAGGCCGAUAGGCGUAGGCGAUGGAUAACAGGUUGAUAUUCCUGUACCCGUUGUUUUUGUUUGAGCAAUGGAGGGACGCAGGAGGCUAAGGAAUGCAGACGAUCGGAAAUGUCUGUCCAAGCAGUAAGUCUGAAGAGGAGUCAAAUGCUUCUUUUCUUAAGGACAAGCUGUGAUGGGGAGGGAAAUAAUAGUACCGAAGUUCCUGAUGUCACACUGCCGAGAAAAGCUUCUAGUGAGAAAACAGCGGCCCGUACCGCAAACCGACACAGGUAGUCGAGGAGAGAAUCCUAAGGUGAGCGAGAGAACUCUCGUUAAGGAACUCGGCAAAAUGACCCCGUAACUUCGGGAGAAGGGGUGCUGAUCAUACGAUCAGCCGCAGUGAAUAGGCCCAAGCGACUGUUUAUCAAAAACACAGGUCUCUGCAAAAUCGUAAGAUGAAGUAUAGGGGCUGACGCCUGCCCGGUGCUGGAAGGUUAAGAGGAGUGCUUAGCGCAAGCGAAGGUACGAAUUGAAGCCCCAGUAAACGGCGGCCGUAACUAUAACGGUCCUAAGGUAGCGAAAUUCCUUGUCGGGUAAGUUCCGACCCGCACGAAAGGCGUAACGAUUUGGGCACUGUCUCAACGAGAGACUCGGUGAAAUUUUAGUACCUGUGAAGAUGCAGGUUACCCGCGACAGGACGGAAAGACCCCAUGGAGCUUUACUGUAGUUUGAUAUUGAGUGUCUGUACCGCAUGUACAGGAUAGGUAGGAGCCGUAGAAAUCGGAACGCUAGUUUCGAUGGAGGCGCUGGUGGGAUACUACCCCUGCGUUAUGGCCACUCUAACCCGCACCACUGAUCGUGGUGGGAGACAGUGUCAGAUGGGCAGUUUGACUGGGGCGGUCGCCUCCUAAAAGGUAACGGAGGCGCCCAAAGGUUCCCUCAGAAUGGUUGGAAAUCAUUCGAAGAGUGUAAAGGCAGAAGGGAGCUUGACUGCGAGACCAACAAGUCGAGCAGGGACGAAAGUCGGGCUUAGUGAUCCGGUGGUUCCGCAUGGAAGGGCCAUCGCUCAACGGAUAAAAGCUACCCUGGGGAUAACAGGCUUAUCU
This 2475-nucleotide ribosomal RNA is filed under the name human gut metagenome. RNAcentral describes it as "bacterial LSU rRNA". It matches the Rfam family "Bacterial large subunit ribosomal RNA", at positions 1 to 2488 of the family's 2925-position model. The record is from RNAcentral.